UACUAGAGUAGCACUCGCAUAUCAAUAAGCGGAGGAAAAGAAACUAACAAGGAUUCCCUUAGUAAUGACGGGUGAAGCGGGAAGAGCUCAAAUUUGAAAUCUUAAAGGGUUUCCCUUUACGAAUUGUAGUUUAAAGAAGUGUUUUCUGUUGAGGUUUUGGUAAAAGUUCUUUGGAAUAGGACAUCAUAGAGGGUGAGAAUCCCGUAUUUGACCUUUACUUUCAACUUUGUGAUACACUUUCAAAGAGUCGGAUUGUUUGGGAAUGCAGUCCAAAAUGGGUGGUAAAUUUCAUCUAAAGCUAAAUAUUGGCGAGAGACCGAUAGCGAACAAGUACCGUGAGGGAAAGAUGAAAAGAACUUUGAAAAGAGAGUUAAACAGUACGUGAAAUUGUCAAAAGGGAAGCGUUUGACACCAGUGUUGUUUUUCUGAAAAUCAAUUAAAGAACUGUUUAUGCUAAGUUGUUUAGACUUUAUCAGCUAUCUGCUUAGUUUUGAGCUUUUCUUUAAUGCACUUUUCAGUUAACAAGUCAACAUCAAUUUCCUUUGCUGUAAAAAAGCUUGAGGAAGGUGGCUUGAGAUUCGUCUUAAGUGUUUAUAGCCUCUUGCCUAUGCAGUCGGAGAGAUUGAGGUCUGCAGCGUAGAUCCUUCGGGGCUAAAUGCAUUUGUGCUAAGUUAUAGCAUUUUAUAGACAACUUGUUGACUAUGAUUUGUCUUGUAGCUUACUCGCUUAUGUUAUUUUACCUACGCUUAGGAUGUUGAACUCUAUCACACACAG
This 774-nucleotide ribosomal RNA is filed under the name uncultured Neocallimastigales. RNAcentral's name for it is "partial large subunit ribosomal RNA". It matches the Rfam family "Eukaryotic large subunit ribosomal RNA", at positions 20 to 621 of the family's 3401-position model. The record is from RNAcentral. Lineage: Eukaryota; Fungi; Neocallimastigomycota; Neocallimastigomycetes; Neocallimastigales.